RNAcentral lists this ribosomal RNA (398 nucleotides) under uncultured bacterium. RNAcentral describes it as "partial 16S ribosomal RNA". It matches the Rfam family "Bacterial small subunit ribosomal RNA", at positions 361 to 774 of the family's 1533-position model. The record is from RNAcentral.
AUAUUGCACAGUUGAGGGAACUCUGAUGCAGCAACGCCGCGCGAGUGAAGAAGGUUUUCGGAUCGUAAAACUCUGCCAUUGGGGAAGAAUAAAUGACGGUACCCAAUGAGGAAGCCCCGGCUUACUUCGUGCCAGCAGCCGCGGUAAUACGUAGGGGGCGAGCGUUGUCCGGAAUUUCUGGGCGUAAAGGGUACGUAGGCGGCUAUAUAAGUCAGGUGUGAAAUACCAGUGCUUAACACUGGAAUUGCAUUUGAAACUGUGUAGCUUGAGUGCAGGAGAGGAAAGUGGAAUUCCUAGUGUAGCGGUGAAAUGCGUAGAGAUUAGGAGGAACACCAGUGGCGAAGGCGACUGCCUGGACGAUAACUGACGCUGAGGCACGAAAGCUAGGGGAGCAAACA